Molecule: ribosomal RNA, 406 nt
Filed under: uncultured bacterium
Lineage: Bacteria
Description: partial 16S ribosomal RNA
Rfam family: Bacterial small subunit ribosomal RNA
Source: RNAcentral
AUUGAACGCUGGCGGCAGGCCUAACACAUGCAAGUCGAGCGAGCGGCGGACGGGUGAGUAAUGUAUGGGGAUCUGCCUGAUGGAGGGGGAUAACUACUGGAAACGGUAGCUAAUACCGCAUACCAUCAGAUGAACCCAUAUGGGAUUAGCUUGUAGGUGAGGUAACGGCUCACCUAGGCGACGAUCCCUAGCUGGUCUGAGAGGAUGAUCAGACACACUGGGACUGAGACACGGCCCAGACUCCUACGGGAGGAAGCAGUGGGGAAUAUUGCACAAUGGGCGCAAGCCUGAUGCAGCCAUGCCGCGUGGAUGAAGAAGGCCUUCGGGUUGUAAAGUACUUUCAGCGAGGAGGCGUUACCCGCAGAAGAAGCACCGGCUAACUCCGUGCCAGCAGCCGCGGUAAUAC